UAAGGAAUAUUGGACAAUGGACGCAAGUCUGAUCCAGCCAUGCCGCGUGAAGGAUGAAUGCCCUCUGGGUUGUAAACUUCUUUUAUAGGGGAAGAAAGAUACUUUUUUUAAGGUAGUUGACGGUACCCUAUGAAUAAGCACCGGCUAACUCCGUGCCAGCAGCCGCGGUAAUACGGAGGGUGCAAGCGUUAUCCGGAUUUACUGGGUUUAAAGGGUGCGUAGGCGGGCAUGUAAGUCAGUGGUGAAAUACCGGAGCUUAACUUCGGAACUGCCAUUGAUACUAUAUGUCUUGAAUAUUGUGGAGGUAAGCGGAAUAUGUCAUGUAGCGGUGAAAUGCAUAGAUAUGACAUAGAACACCGAUUGCGGAGGCAGCUUGCUACGCAAAUAUUGACGCUGAGGCACGAAAGCGUGGGGAUCAAGCA
Molecule: ribosomal RNA, 422 nt
Filed under: uncultured bacterium
Lineage: Bacteria
Description: bacterial SSU rRNA
Rfam family: Bacterial small subunit ribosomal RNA
Source: RNAcentral